Molecule: ribosomal RNA, 500 nt
Filed under: uncultured bacterium
Lineage: Bacteria
Description: partial 16S ribosomal RNA
Rfam family: Bacterial small subunit ribosomal RNA
Source: RNAcentral
AUUGAACGCUGGCGGAAUGCUUUACACAUGCAAGUCGAACGGCAGCACGGACUUCGGUCUGGUGGCGAGUGGCGAACGGGUGAGUAAUGUAUCGGAACGUGCCCAGUCGUGGGGGAUAACGUAGUGAAAAUUACGCUAAUACCGCAUACGAUCUAUGGAUGAAAGCGGGGGAUCGCAAGACCUCGCGCGAUUGGAGCGGCCGAUAUCAGAUUAGGUAGUUGGUGGGGUAAAGGCCCACCAAGCCAACGAUCUGUAGCUGGUCUGAGAGGACGACCGGCAACACUGGAACUGAGACACGGGACAGACUCCUACGGGGGGCAGCAGUGGGGAAUUUUGGACAAUGGGCGAAAGCCUGAUCCAGCCAUUCCGCGUGCAGGAUGAAGGCCCUCGGGUUGUAAACUGCUUUUGUACAGAACGAAAAGGUUUCUACUAAUACUAGGAGCUCAUGACGGUACUGUAAGAAUAAGCACCGGCUAACUACGUGCCAGCAGCCGCAGUAA